GGGUUGUGAGGUUAAGCGACUAAGCGUACACGGUGGAUGCCCUGGCAGUCAGAGGCGAUGAAGGGCGUGCUAAUCUGCGAUAAGCGCCGGUAAGGUGAUAUGAACCGUUAUAACCGGCGAUACCCGAAUGGGGAAACCCAGUGUGACUCGUCACACUAUCAUUAACUGAAUCCAUAGGUUAAUGAGGCGAACCGGGGGAACUGAAACAUCUAAGUACCCCGAGGAAAAGAAAUCAACCGAGAUUCCCCCAGUAGCGGCGAGCGAACGGGGAGGAGCCCAGAGCCUGAAUCAGCAUGUGUGUUAGUGGAAGCGUCUGGAAAGGUGCGCGAUACAGGGUGACAGCCCCGUACACAAAAGCGCAUGUGCUGUGAGCUCGAUGAGUAGGGCGGGACACGUGGUAUCCUGUCUGAAUAUGGGGGGACCAUCCUCCAAGGCUAAAUACUCCUGACUGACCGAUAGUGAACCAGUACCGUGAGGGAAAGGCGAAAAGAACCCCGGCGAGGGGAGUGAAAAAGAACCUGAAACCGUGUACGUACAAGCAGUGGGAGCCCCACCACCAAAGCAUUCUCUGGUGUUGAAGGCCCUGCAAAGCAGCAUCGCGGUGGCGGAGCGUCGUUUGCGACGCCCAACACACAAAACAAGCGGUGAAUGCUUUGGGGUGGGGUGACUGCGUACCUUUUGUAUAAUGGGUCAGCGACUUAUAUUCUGUAGCAAGGUUAACCGAAUAGGGGAGCCGGAGGGAAACCGAGUCUUAAUUGGGCGUUAAGUUGCAGGGUAUAGACCCGAAACCCGGUGAUCUAGCCAUGGGCAGGUUGAAGGUUGGGUAACACUAACUGGAGGACCGAACCGACUAAUGUUGAAAAAUUAGCGGAUGACCUGUGGCUGGGGGUGAAAGGCCAAUCAAACCGGGAGAUAGCUGGUUCUCCCCGAAAGCUAUUUAGGUAGCGCCUCGUGAAUUCAUCUCCGGGGGUAGAGCACUGUUUCGGCUAGGGGGCCAUCCCGGCUUACCAACCCGAUGCAAACUGCGAAUACCGGAGAAUGUUAUCACGGGAGACACACGGCGGGUGCUAACGUCCGUCGUGAAGAGGGAAACAACCCAGACCGCCAGCUAAGGUCCCAAAGUCAUGGUUAAGUGGGAAACGAUGUGGGAAGGCCCAGACAGCCAGGAUGUUGGCUUAGAAGCAGCCAUCAUUUAAAGAAAGCGUAAUAGCUCACUGGUCGAGUCGGCCUGCGCGGAAGAUGUAACGGGGCUAAACCAUGCACCGAAGCUGCGGCAGCGACGCUGAUGCGUUGUUGGGUAGGGGAGCGUUCUGUAAGCCUGCGAAGGUGACCUGUGAGGGUUGCUGGAGGUAUCAGAAGUGCGAAUGCUGACAUAAGUAACGAUAAAGCGGGUGAAAAGCCCGCUCGCCGGAAGACCAAGGGUUCCUGUCCAACGUUAAUCGGGGCAGGGUGAGUCGACCCCUAAGGCGAGGCCGAAAGGCGUAGUCGAUGGGAAACGGGUUAAUAUUCCCGUACUUGGUGUUACUGCGAAGGGGGGACGGAGAAGGCUAUGUUGGCCGGGCGACGGUUGUCCCGGUUUAAGCGUGUAGGUGUGUGUUCCAGGUAAAUCCGGUUCACUUUAACACUGAGGCGUGAUGACGAGGCACUACGGUGCUGAAGCAACAAAUGCCCUGCUUCCAGGAAAAGCCUCUAAGCAUCAGGUAACAUCAAAUCGUACCCCAAACCGACACAGGUGGUCAGGUAGAGAAUACCAAGGCGCUUGAGAGAACUCGGGUGAAGGAACUAGGCAAAAUGGUGCCGUAACUUCGGGAGAAGGCACGCUGACACGUAGGUGAAGUGAUUUACUCACGGAGCUGAAGUCAGUCGAAGAUACCAGCUGGCUGCAACUGUUUAUUAAAAACACAGCACUGUGCAAACACGAAAGUGGACGUAUACGGUGUGACGCCUGCCCGGUGCCGGAAGGUUAAUUGAUGGGGUCAGCGCAAGCGAAGCUCCUGAUCGAAGCCCCGGUAAACGGCGGCCGUAACUAUAACGGUCCUAAGGUAGCGAAAUUCCUUGUCGGGUAAGUUCCGACCUGCACGAAUGGCGUAAUGAUGGCCAGGCUGUCUCCACCCGAGACUCAGUGAAAUUGAACUCGCUGUGAAGAUGCAGUGUACCCGCGGCAAGACGGAAAGACCCCGUGAACCUUUACUAUAGCUUGACACUGAACAUUGAGCCUUGAUGUGUAGGAUAGGUGGGAGGCUUUGAAGUGUGGACGCCAGUCUGCAUGGAGCCGACCUUGAAAUACCACCCUUUAAUGUUUGAUGUUCUAACGUGGACCCGUAAUCCGGGUUGCGGACAGUGUCUGGUGGGUAGUUUGACUGGGGCGGUCUCCUCCUAAAGAGUAACGGAGGAGCACGAAGGUUGGCUAAUCCUGGUCGGACAUCAGGAGGUUAGUGCAAUGGCAUAAGCCAGCUUGACUGCGAGCGUGACGGCGCGAGCAGGUGCGAAAGCAGGUCAUAGUGAUCCGGUGGUUCUGAAUGGAAGGGCCAUCGCUCAACGGAUAAAAGGUACUCCGGGGAUAACAGGCUGAUACCGCCCAAGAGUUCAUAUCGACGGCGGUGUUUGGCACCUCGAUGUCGGCUCAUCACAUCCUGGGGCUGAAGUAGGUCCCAAGGGUAUGGCUGUUCGCCAUUUAAAGUGGUACGCGAGCUGGGUUUAGAACGUCGUGAGACAGUUCGGUCCCUAUCUGCCGUGGGCGCUGGAGAACUGAGGGGGGCUGCUCCUAGUACGAGAGGACCGGAGUGGACGCAUCACUGGUGUUCGGGUUGUCAUGCCAAUGGCACUGCCCGGUAGCUAAAUGCGGAAGAGAUAAGUGCUGAAAGCAUCUAAGCACGAAACUUGCCCCGAGAUGAGUUCUCCCUGAGACUUUAGGUCUCCUGAAGGAACGUUGAAGACGACGACGUUGAUAGGCCGGGUGUGUAAGCGCAGCGAUGCGUUGAGCUAACCGGUACUAAUGAACCGUGAGGCUUAACCUUACAACGCCGAAG
Molecule: ribosomal RNA, 3029 nt
Filed under: Salmonella enterica subsp. enterica serovar Typhimurium
Lineage: Bacteria; Pseudomonadati; Pseudomonadota; Gammaproteobacteria; Enterobacterales; Enterobacteriaceae
Description: bacterial LSU rRNA
Rfam family: Bacterial large subunit ribosomal RNA
Source: RNAcentral